UUUUGGCAGAAGUUGAAUUUGGAGCAGUGUAUUUUUUAAGAAAGUCUGGGAGUGGAUCAAAUUCAACUGAGGUUGCAUUUGAUCUUAAAAAUAUAACUUUUGAUGCCAAUGUGGAUUGUGAUGAAGAUGAAGAUGAAGAUGGAGAUGAUGGAGGAGAGGAUAUCAUUAGAGGAUUGAACCUAAAAACUUUCACAUUUGUUCAUUUCUAAUGAUUUAAUUUUUAUGACUUGA
Molecule: long non-coding RNA, 231 nt
Filed under: Phaseolus vulgaris (common bean)
Lineage: Eukaryota; Viridiplantae; Streptophyta; Magnoliopsida; Fabales; Fabaceae
Description: long non-coding RNA (PVUL_LNC000398)
Source: RNAcentral